GACGAACGCUGGCGGCGUGCUUAACACAUGCAAGUCGAACGGAAAGGCCCUGCUUUUGUGGGGUGCUCGAGUGGCGAACGGGUGAGUAACACGUGAGUAACCUGCCCUUGACUUUGGGAUAACUUCAGGAAACUGGGGCUAAUACCGGAUAGGAGCUCCUGCUGCUUGGUGGGGGUUGGAAAGUUUCGGCGGUUGGGGAUGGACUCGCGGCUUAUCAGCUUGUUGGUGGGGUAGUGGCUUACCAAGGCUUUGACGGGUAGCCGGGCUGAGAGGGUGACCGGCCACAUUGGGACUGAGAUACGGCCCAGACUCCUACGGGAGGCAGCAGUGGGGAAUAGUGCACAAUGGGCGGAAGCCUGAUGCAGCAACGCCGCGUGCGGGAUGACGGCCUUCGGGUUGUAAACCGAUUUCGCCUGUGACGAAGCGUGAGUGACGGUAAUGGGUAAAGAAGCACCGGCUAACUACGUG
RNAcentral lists this ribosomal RNA (468 nucleotides) under uncultured bacterium. Its description in RNAcentral is "partial 16S ribosomal RNA". It matches the Rfam family "Bacterial small subunit ribosomal RNA", at positions 28 to 507 of the family's 1533-position model. The record is from RNAcentral.